RNAcentral lists this long non-coding RNA (1185 nucleotides) under Piliocolobus tephrosceles (Ugandan red Colobus). RNAcentral's name for it is "lncRNA (ENSPTEG00000020915.1)". Lineage: Eukaryota; Metazoa; Chordata; Mammalia; Primates; Cercopithecidae. The record is from RNAcentral.
AUGAUAAAUAAUAAAAAUAAUGAUAUAACAAUAAAAACAGCUUCGAAAACUAAAAACAUAAAGUUACUAAAAGUACCUAAGUUUGUUUCAAAUAAAUGGCUUCAACAUAAAGAUAAAGACAUUGUUGGUUUACUUGACAUAAACAAUGAAGAUAUAUGCAGUUUAUAUAUUCAGAAAGAUGAGAGUGAUGAUGUUAAAAAAUUAAAAUGUAAUAAAAAUAAAAUAGUAAAUACAUAUAUAUUAAAACAAAAUAAAAUAUAUUUCAAUGACAGUACUGAUAAUACUACUACAACUACUGAUAUUAAUACUACUACUACUACUACUACCACUACUACUACUAGUAAUAAUAAUAAUAAAAAUGUAACUAAUACAUCAAAUAAUAAUGCGAGUAAUAAAUCAAAUGAAAAUAUUAUUCAAAAUAAAAUUAAUACAAAUAUAAAUAACUCUGAUGAAAAUAACAAUGAACAAGGAGAUAAAGAAAAAAAUUCUAUUUUAUGUACAAAUAUUAUAAAAUGCUGUGAUAAUACAUAUGCAUUUUUACCAACAUUGGAUGCUGAUUAUUCAUCAGUUUUAAAAGAAAGGCAUUAUAAAACAAAUGUUAAAAAGGAUAGGUAUACAAUAAUAGAAACGAGAAAUGAAGAACAUAUUGAUUCAACUCAUACUUUGUUUAAAUAUUAUACACCUGAUGAUAUUACAAAUAAUAUUAAUACUAAUACCACUAAUAAUAAUAAUAAUACCACUAAUAAUAAUAAUAAUAAUAACACCACUAAUAAUAAUAAUAAUAAAAAUAUAAAAAGUGGUAAAAGAACAUAUGAUGAAAUUAAUAAUUUUAAUACUAAUAGUGAUACUAAUAAAAAUAUUAAUACAUAUAUUAUUAAUUCGAAUAACUCUUAUAAUAAUAUUAAUACUAGUAGUAGUAAUAUGAAUAACACAAGUGUAAUGCCAGUAAUCACUUCAAAAUAUAAAAUGAAACAAUCUAAAAAAAUGAAUGUUAUCGACUUAGAUAAAACAAAAAUUAGUAUGUUUAAAAUGUUUGAAAACGAAGGUAAAAAGGGAGUACCUUUUUCUUUAUUUACCAAAAACUUCAACAUACCUACUAAUUAUAUAAAAAAUAUAUUAGAAGAAAUAGCCGUAAAAAGAAAAAGACCUACAGAUAAAAAACCUGUAUACUUUUUAAAGGAUUAA